RNAcentral lists this ribosomal RNA (402 nucleotides) under uncultured bacterium. Its description in RNAcentral is "bacterial SSU rRNA". It matches the Rfam family "Bacterial small subunit ribosomal RNA", at positions 107 to 518 of the family's 1533-position model. The record is from RNAcentral.
UGAGUAACGCGUGAACAAUCGUGUCCAGACAGGGGAUAACACUUGGAAACAGGUGCGUAAUACCGCAUAAGACCACAGCAUCGACGAUGGUGGAGGGGUAAAAGGAGCGAUCCGGUUUGGGUGAGUUCGCGUCCGAUUAGCCAGUUGCGGGGUAAGGCCCACCAAAGCGACGAUCGGUAGCCGAUCUGAGAGGAUGACCGGCCACAUUGGGAACUGAGAGACGGUCCAAAUCCUACGGGAGGCAGGCAGUGGGGAAUAUUGGGCAAUGGGCGAAAGGUACCCUGACCCAGCAACGCCGCGUGAGUGAAGAAGGCUUUCGGGUUGUAAAGCUCUGUUAUAGGGGACGAAGGAAGUGACGGUACCCUAUAAGGAAGCCCCGGCUAACUACGUGCCAGCAGCCGC